GUAGGUGGCAAGCGUUGUCCGGAAUUAUUGGGCGUAAAGCGCGCGCAGGCGGUUCUUUAAGUCUGAUGUGAAAGCCCACGGCUCAACCGUGGAGGGUCAUUGGAAACUGGGGAACUUGAGUACAGAAGAGGAAAGCGGAAUUCCACGUGUAGCGGUGAAAUGCGUAGAGAUGUGGAGGAACACCAGUGGCGAAGGCGGCUUUCUGGUCUGUAACUGACGCUGAGGCGCGAAAGCGUGGGGAGCAAACAGGGAUUAGAUACCCUGGUAGUCCACGCCGUAAACGAUGAGUGCUAAGUGUUAGGGGGUUUCCCGCCCCUUAGUGCUGCAGCUAACGCAUUAAGCACUCCGCCUGGGGAGUACGGCCGCAAGGCUA
This 373-nucleotide ribosomal RNA is filed under the name uncultured organism. Its description in RNAcentral is "partial 16S ribosomal RNA". It matches the Rfam family "Bacterial small subunit ribosomal RNA", at positions 527 to 896 of the family's 1533-position model. The record is from RNAcentral.